GUUGCCAUUAGAGUUUUUGAUUAAUCAUUUGAAUUUAAAUGCUAGGAGUCCUUAAAUUUUGGAAAAAUAAGUGUCCUAUUUCCAAUCCCAGAUUAGGAAAAUAGUUCACUUGUAUCAAGAUUAGAGAUGGGUCUGUAACACUUGUAUACGCCAUUGAUUAGAGAGAAGAAUUUAGUAGAGAUCGAAAUAAAUUAUAGGAAUUCCCUCUUUCUACAUUGUGUGACCCCUUCAUGAAGAUCACAACUCUACAAGUGCAAUUUAUAAUUCCCAGGCCCCUUUAGAGAGGAUUCUGCCAUAUUUUCAGUUUUUCCCAUUGACAAAUCAUACUUGCAGAUAAGCAUUGAUUUCAUCAAUGGACGAUUUAAACCAAUGUACACAUAUCCGACCACAAAUUCACAUAGCUUUAAAUAUUUCGUCUAAAAUUAACAAAUUGUUAGUGAGAUUAAAACCACAUAGCUUUAAAUAUUUCGUCUAAAAUUAACAAAUUGCUCAUUUUCUUUGGCAUCUACCUAAAAGCGAAAUCAUCAAAUAAGAAAACUUUAAGGCAGUUAUGUUGGGCUGUAG
This 564-nucleotide long non-coding RNA is filed under the name Elaeis guineensis (African oil palm). RNAcentral's name for it is "long non-coding RNA (EGUI_LNC079923)". The record is from RNAcentral. Lineage: Eukaryota; Viridiplantae; Streptophyta; Magnoliopsida; Arecales; Arecaceae.